UGAAGCUGAAGACCAUCCAACUGAGGUCAUUCCAGAUCCAGCUCCAGCUGAGCUGGCACAGACCAGAAGAUUAGCCAACCUGCACAAUCAUGAUCAAUAACAAACUGCAGUCGCUUUGAACUGCUGAAAUGUGUGGUUGGCAACAGCUUACCGAUACAAUGAUACAAUUUUAACAAAAAUCAAGGGCAUCCUUUAAGCUGGAGAUGGGUGAGAUUUCUCUGACUACCUCGAUUUGUGAAUGGGCUUGGUUAAUUGAAUAUUUUCCAGGUUCCGUUAGAAAGAAGUAAGAUGUGAAUUAAUGUUUGGUUGGUAGGAAUACCUACUGCUAUGGGUCCCAAACAGGGUCAAAGGGGAAGAGUCUGGGUGGUGGAUAGGGAUCAGGAAAUGAAUCUAUGUAGGGGUAGCACUUUAAAUGUAGCUUAGAAUUCUAAGUAACAGUUGGCCAAGAUGUUUGGGAGGAAGAGAAUGGUGAAUCCUUAUGAGGGAAGUGGACAGCUUGGGCAAGGCACAGUGCUCUGUAGAACAUAGAACUUGGGGGAAAUGCAAGUAAAUUGGCUUGUCUGAAGUAGAAUUGUGCCUAGAUAUGUACAACAGUAUCUGAAGGGAUUUAUCCGCUAUGUCUCUGGUACAAAGAAAUGUCCAGGAACAGGAAUAUAGAACUUCAUCUGCCUUAGAGCUUGUAAGAGAUUUCUUGGGGGAAUUAGAUGCCCAGGGAAGGUCUAGGCAAAGGCACUUGUGUGUGUCAGCUUAUAAGGAAUAACUGAUACGGUAUUACCACAUAGAGCUAGAACAGUUUCCUUUGAGCCAUUUCUUUAAGAAUAAAUACAAUUGUGAAAAAUUUAGGAUCUCUGGGCCUAGACUGAAAGACUUUGAAUCCCAGUCCUGCCACUGGUUAGCUCAUGGACUUUGGAUGGUGUGUGUAAUGUCUCUGUUCCUCAAUUUUCUGUGAAAUUGGUAUGAUAGGCUUCCUUCCCAUUCCCCACUGCCAUCCCCUGUCCUUAUUUCCAGAGUCUAAGUGUUACAGUUCAUGACCUGCUGGGGCCUAGCUCUUGACGUGGCUGUAUAUACCCCUUUUUGCCUAUCUUAUAUGUAGGAAAUCAGGAUUCAUGGGAGAUUGCAUGCCUAGUCUUGCUCUGUGUGACCAUACAGAAAGGCCUUUCCUGCCUUGUAACCUCAUGAUUGCAUUAAAAAAACAUUAAAUAGCUAGCUAAUGCUGAGAAAUUCAUUUCCCUCAUCUGUUCCUGCCUUCUAGGUUCAGGAAAUUCAAAUAUGCAUUUAACUUAUUUUUAACUGGUUGAAUUGCUUUCUCUAAAAAGAUAUGCUCAAAUCCUAAUCCCUGGUACCUGCAGUUGUGCCCUAAUUUGGAGACAGGUCUUUGCAGAUGUAAUCAAGUUAAGAUGAGGCUGCUCUGGAUUAAGGUAGGCCCCCAGUGCAAUGACUAGUGUUAAACAAGAGGGCCUUUUGGGGACAUACAGACACUCUCAGAAGAAAGAAGUCCGUGUGAUAACAGAGGCAGAGAUUGGAGUGAUGCAACUAUAAACCAAGGAACACCGAGGUUGCUGGCAACCACCAGAAGCAAGAAAGAGGUAAAGAACAGUUCCUCCUCAGAGCCUGCCCAGGGAGCAUGGCACUGUCCGACUUUGAUUUUGGACUAAGCCUUCAGAACUGUGAGAGAAGAAAUUUCUCAUGUUUCAAGCCUGAGGUAGUUUGUUAUAUCUCCUCUUGGAAAUGAACAUACCUAUGUUGAAAUAUGCAAAGAGACCUUAGAAUAUAGGCUAUAAAAGUAUGCAUUGAAUCUACUGGGUGUAAAAGCCAUAUUUCUGCAUCACUCUGCUGUGGCUAUUACAAAAGCUGCUAUCAAUAUUCUCAUCAGAAAGAAAUGAUCUUUGCAAGAAAUCAGAGUUUAAAUAAAGAAAUGAAGACUGUUGGCAAGGAAGAACUUUUUCUUCCUUUUAGAUCUUAUAGCUAAAACAUAGCCUUCCUGCUGCCAACAUUGAUAUUUAUCACCAUCUUUUCCUUAAAUUUAAAAACACUUCUAUUAAUGUUCCUUUCAGUGUCUCAGAUUAGUUUUGUUGGAUGAGAAUAAUCAUGAUAGCCAGAUCGUCAUAAGAUGCCUUUAUCAACUUUGGUUUGGUUUUGUUUUUGGCAGGCUUAGUGAAGCAAAUCAGGAAUUACCAGUUCCCCGGACACUUCUUUGUUCCUUAGCACAGGAAUUUGAAUGUAACAGUGACUGAUGAGGAAUGACAGAGCAUCUUGGAUGAAGAGAAAGAUACUUUGAAUGGAAAAGGAGGAAGGAAAGUGAAGAGAGAGUAUCUUGCAUAAAGUAAGUGCUUCACACACAUUGGUAGAAUCAUUUUAAUGGUUGAAAUCUUGAUCCUGCCUGUGGAACAUGGGUUCCAAAAGAAAAAGAACUGAAGCUGUUGAAUUAAACCUUGAAUUAAGAGACUCAGGAAGACUGUUCCAAUGGUUAUAAAAGAAAUACUGAUCUGUCCUUUGCUAGACUCUACCUGCCCUAUCAGGCUGGAGUAUACUGCUUCAGCUUAUAAUGCUCACUUCAGUUCUAGAGUCUCAGACGUAUACAAAAUACAAAGCAGAUAUCUCCAGAGAAGAUCAUGGAACUCAGAAAGAGACCUGUAAAUUUAAUAAAAGAUAUUCAGAGAAAAGUAUGAUAGUACUUUUUAUGCAGAAUAUCCAUUGAGCUAAACUUUGGAACCUGCGGCAUUCUUCGUUGUAAUUCUUUAAUUCAGGUCAAAAAAGAGAACACAGAUACCUGGAAGAGGCCAGCCUGACACAGGGACUGGAUGUCAAGAUGAAAUUGUGGAUGUUAUAUUAUGCCAGGCAGAGAACUUUGUAAUAUGGAACUAGGAGUCGUGAAAGCAGCCGUCCUUAUAAGAGAUGCUCAAACAUUCUCUUCACUUUUCACUUUA
This is a non-coding RNA of Vicugna pacos (alpaca), 2927 nucleotides long. The record is from RefSeq and is a predicted model, not a curated record. NCBI's taxonomy places the organism in Eukaryota, Metazoa, Chordata, Mammalia, Artiodactyla, Camelidae.